AGGGGCAUAGGUCAGUGGCAGAGCACAUGCUUAGCAUGCACGAGGCCCUGAGUUCAAUCCCCAGUACCUCCA
This 72-nucleotide transfer RNA is filed under the name Camelus ferus (Wild Bactrian camel). It matches the Rfam family "tRNA". Rfam says of the family: Transfer RNA (tRNA) molecules are approximately 80 nucleotides in length. Their secondary structure includes four short double-helical elements and three loops (D, anti-codon, and T loops). Lineage: Eukaryota; Metazoa; Chordata; Mammalia; Artiodactyla; Camelidae. The record is from Rfam by way of RNAcentral.